Prunus avium (sweet cherry) is the source of this 139-nucleotide non-coding RNA. NCBI's taxonomy places the organism in Eukaryota, Viridiplantae, Streptophyta, Magnoliopsida, Rosales, Rosaceae. The record is from RefSeq and is a predicted model, not a curated record.
GCUUUUGAGGAAUUAUUGUAACAAGAAUUUCAGAAAUUGAGAGAUACAAUGCAGCACUCAAGAACAAAUUCCUGUGAUCUUCUUGCCCAGCUUCCUUCUUCUCUGUCCUUAGACUCUGGGUAUCUAUAUAUCCUUUUCA